This 497-nucleotide ribosomal RNA is filed under the name uncultured bacterium. RNAcentral's name for it is "partial 16S ribosomal RNA". It matches the Rfam family "Bacterial small subunit ribosomal RNA", at positions 28 to 507 of the family's 1533-position model. The record is from RNAcentral.
GAUGAACGCUGGCGGCGUGCCUAAUACAUGCAAGUCCAGCGAACGGACGCGAAGUUUGCUUCUCUGAUGUUAACGGCGGAAGGGUGAGUAACACGUGGAUAACCUACAUAUAAGACUGGGAUAAUUUAGGGCAACCGUAGCUAAUACCGGAUAAUAUUUUGAACCACAUGGUUCAACAGUAAAAGACGGUCUUUCUGUCACUUAUAGAUGGUUCCGCGCUUAAUUAGCUAGUUGGUAAGGUAACGGUUUAUCAAGGCGACUACGCAUAGACGACGUGGGAGAGUGUACGGCCACUCAGGAAGUUGGACACCGUCAUGACUCCUACUGCAGGCAGCUGUAGGGAAUCUUCCGCGAUGGGCGAAAUCCUGACGCUGCAACGUCGCGUGAAUUGUGAAGGUCUUCCGAUCGUAAUGCUCUUUUAUGAGUGAAGAACAUAUGUGUAAGUUACUGUACACAUCUUGACGGUACCUAAUCAGAAAGCCACGGCUAACUAGGUG